UACGUAGGGUGCGAGCGUUGUCCGGAAUUAUUGGGCGUAAAGGGCUCGUAGGUGGUUUGUCGCGUUGUUCGUGAAAACUCACAGCUCAACUGUGGGCGUGCGGGCGAUACGGGCAGACUAGAGUACUGCAGGGGAGACUGGAAUUCCUGGUGUAGCGGUGGAAUGCGCAGAUAUCAGGAGGAACACCGGUGGCGAAGGCGGGUCUCUGGGCAGUAACUGACUCUGAGGAGCGAAAGCGUGGGGAGCGAACAGG
RNAcentral lists this ribosomal RNA (253 nucleotides) under uncultured bacterium. Its description in RNAcentral is "partial 16S ribosomal RNA". It matches the Rfam family "Bacterial small subunit ribosomal RNA", at positions 524 to 776 of the family's 1533-position model. The record is from RNAcentral.